GUCUACGGCCAUGGCACCCGGAACAAGCCCAAUGUCUGAUCUCGGAAGCUAAGCAGGGUCGGGCCUGGUUAGUACUUGGAUGAGAGACCACCUAGGAAUACCAGGUGCUGUAGGCA
This 116-nucleotide ribosomal RNA is filed under the name Pteropus alecto (black flying fox). Lineage: Eukaryota; Metazoa; Chordata; Mammalia; Chiroptera; Pteropodidae. The record is from RNAcentral.